This 346-nucleotide ribosomal RNA is filed under the name uncultured bacterium. RNAcentral's name for it is "partial 16S ribosomal RNA". It matches the Rfam family "Bacterial small subunit ribosomal RNA", at positions 338 to 681 of the family's 1533-position model. The record is from RNAcentral.
CCUACGGGUGGCAGCAGUGAGGAAUAUUGGUCAAUGGGCGAGAGCCUGAACCAGCCAAGUCGCGUGAAGGAUGAAGGAACUAUGGUUUGUAAACUUCUUUUAUAGGGGAAUAAAGUGAGGAACGUGUGCCUUUUUGUAUGUACCAUAUGAAUAAGCAUCGGCUAACUCCGUGCCAGCAGCCGCGGUAAUACGGAGGAUGCGAGCGUUAUCCGGAUUUAUUGGGGUUAAAGGGUGCGUAGGUGGUUAAUUAAGUCAGCGGGGAAAGUUUGUGGCUCAACCAGAAAAUUGCCGUUGAAACUGGUUGCCUUGAGUAUAUUUGCGGUCGGCGGCAUUCGUUGUGUAGCGG